GCGUGCUAAGCGGGGAGCCAGCGGUGCCCUGUACCCGCAAUCCGCUACAGCGGGGCUGAAUUCCCGUACGAGAAUGCUGAUGUUCCUGUAGUGACUGAUAAGUGGUGUUGAGAGCCAAGCCCUGCGCAAUUAUGGACUGCGAACCAUGUCAGGCCCGGAAGGGAGCAGCAUUAAGCAGAACCCGUGAUGUGCCGCAGGUCAACUUGACUUGAGCUAACUGUCUGUUACUGCAACGAAAUAAGUAUCGACUAUGGGUGCACGC
This 262-nucleotide signal recognition particle RNA is filed under the name Candidatus Cloacimonadota bacterium. Its description in RNAcentral is "signal recognition particle sRNA large type". It matches the Rfam family "Bacterial large signal recognition particle RNA". Rfam says of the family: The signal recognition particle (SRP) is a universally conserved ribonucleoprotein involved in the co-translational targeting of proteins to membranes. Archaeal SRP consists of a 7S RNA and homologues of the eukaryotic SRP19 and SRP54 proteins. Lineage: Bacteria; Pseudomonadati; Candidatus Cloacimonadota. The record is from RNAcentral.